UACGGAGGGAGCGAACGUUGUUCGGAUUCACUGGGCGUAAAGGGCGUGUAGGCGGUCUGGCAAGUCAGGGGUGAAAUGCCACGGCUCAACCGUGGAAUUGCCUUUGAAACUGCCGGACUUGAGGCCGUGAGAGGAGACUGGAAUUCCCAGUGUAGCGGUGAAAUGCAUAGAUAUUGGGAAGAACACCAGUGGCGAAGGCGAGUCUCUGGCACGGUUCUGACGCUGAGGCGCGAAAGCUAGGGGAGCAAACGGG
RNAcentral lists this ribosomal RNA (253 nucleotides) under uncultured bacterium. Its description in RNAcentral is "partial 16S ribosomal RNA". It matches the Rfam family "Bacterial small subunit ribosomal RNA", at positions 524 to 776 of the family's 1533-position model. The record is from RNAcentral.